AUACUUACCCGGCAGGGGACAUACCAUGAUCACAAAGGUGGUUUUCCCAGGGCAAGGCUUAUCCAUUGCACUCUGAAUGUGCUGACCCCCUUGAUUUCCCCAAAUGUGGGAAAUGCGACUGCAUAAUUUGUGGUAAUGGGGGACUGCAUUCACGCUCUCCCCUG
RNAcentral lists this small nuclear RNA (164 nucleotides) under Echinops telfairi (small Madagascar hedgehog). Its description in RNAcentral is "U1 spliceosomal RNA (ENSETEG00000020574.1)". It matches the Rfam family "U1 spliceosomal RNA". From Rfam's summary of the family: U1 is a small nuclear RNA (snRNA) component of the spliceosome (involved in pre-mRNA splicing). Its 5' end forms complementary base pairs with the 5' splice junction, thus defining the 5' donor site of an intron. Lineage: Eukaryota; Metazoa; Chordata; Mammalia; Afrosoricida; Tenrecidae. The record is from RNAcentral.